CCUACGGGCGGCUGCAGUGGGGAAUAUUGGACAAUGGGGGGAACCCUGAUCCAGCCAUGCCGCGUGUGUGAAGAAGGCCCUCGGGUUGUAAAGCACUUUCAGUGAGGAAGAACGCCUGGUGGUUAAUACCCAUCAGGAAAGACAUCACUCACAGAAGAAGCACCGGCUAACUCCGUGCCAGCAGCCGCGGUAAUACGGAGGGUGCGAGCGUUAAUCGGAAUUACUGGGCGUAAAGCGCGCGUAGGUGGCUUGAUAAGCCGGUUGUGAAAGCCCCGGGCUCAACCUGGGAACGGCAUCCGGAACUGUCAAGCUAGAGUGCAGGAGAGGAAGGUAGAAUUCCCGGUGUAGCAGUGAAAUGCGUAGAGAUCGGGAGGAAUACCAGUGGCGAAGGCGGCCUUCUGGACUGACACUGACACUGAGGUGCGAAAGCGUGGGUAGCAAACAGGAUUAGAUACCCUAGUAGUC
RNAcentral lists this ribosomal RNA (465 nucleotides) under Vreelandella stevensii. RNAcentral describes it as "partial 16S ribosomal RNA". It matches the Rfam family "Bacterial small subunit ribosomal RNA", at positions 338 to 795 of the family's 1533-position model. The record is from RNAcentral. Lineage: Bacteria; Pseudomonadati; Pseudomonadota; Gammaproteobacteria; Oceanospirillales; Halomonadaceae.